UUGAUAAAUUUUAACAUGUUUUAACUAAUCAAAUUGUACAAGGAAUAUCUAUAUCUUUAAUUUACCGAAAAGAUAAGAAUCUCUUACAAUGGAUAGAUAUUUAUUUUGUUUUUUAGAAAAUUAUUGAUGGAUAAAAUGCAAAUAAAUAUUUCAGAUACUCCUUUUGGAUUGGGAAUUUUCUUUCACUUUCUUGGCCCACCACUUUUUUGCCAAAGGUUUUCGAGCUUGUGCGUAUGAACCAUGAACUUGAAAAAGCAGAGGGCGUCACGCAAAGGGCUGCUAAAGACAAAACCACGCCCACGUGAGCUUUGGAACCAGGUCCCAUCCAAUCCUUUUACCAUUCAAGGCAAGCUUAAAGCUGAUAUAGGAGAUCAUCAAAUUGCCCCACAUACUGCUGCAUUUUUAUAUCAAUUAUUUGUCUUUUAGUUCUUAUUGAAGUCAGCACUUGAUAAAAAUGAAGGUGAGCUGGCUUAUCUUUUUAUCAAUAAUGUUGCCAAAUUGAAAAUGAACAUCAGGAUAUCAUGCUUUCAUGUUGUUUUAAUUAUUUGGGAGAUUUCUAUAAAAGAUAUGAUUUCAUUUCACUUUGGUUAUAAAACAAAUUUCUUAUGGGAUUUUCAUUAAUUAGAAAGAUUUUCUUACGCAAUAUAAGGAGUUGUAUUAAUGUAUUACAUCUCAAAUUUUAAUAAGCUUAUCCAAAUUUUCAUCCUCUAAGGCAUUUGAAUAAUGUUUGCGAUGAAUAAAAGAUAAUGAAUUUUUGUGGAGUGUCUUAAUUCUAUUUAUAAGAUUAAAAAUUUCAUCUAUAAAAUUAAAAAUUUUUACUAUCAAUGUAUCAAAAAUAAAAUUGUUUAUACAAGAUUCAUGCAUAUUUUGUGUCUAUCUCAUGAAUAUCAUAUUUUCCAUCCUAAAACUCAAUUUAAAAAUUUUUAAAAUGGAAGAUUAAUUUUUAAUUGUUGGAGUGUUUUCUUAGACACAUCUAAUCCAAACUAUUGAUUGAUCCAAAUAUCGGAAAUAUAAGUAAAUUACAGUGAGUAACCUUUGGUGUUGGAAUAGAACAUUAGAAGAUUGGAAUUUUAUUUUUGCCCACUUGGAAGGUUCGAAUGGCUAAAUAUAUUUCUUUCAAUUUUUAUUUUAUUAUUUGGAUUCGGUCUUAAGCAUGUGAUGAUGUAAAUUCUUAUUCAUUUUGCUUCUUAUCCACCCUACAAUACAUCAAAUCCUUUCUCUUUCCCCCUCUCCCUCCAUUUUCUUUCUUUUUAUUUCCACCCCUUUACCCUUUUCUCGUUUAUAUUCCUUUUAUUUUUAAGUAAAACUCAAAAUUUUGUACUUAAAAUUUCAGAUCCAUAUCCAUAAAUAUAUUUAUCUAUACUCAAAGAGCUGUAUUUAAAUUUAUAAAUUAAUUUAAUUAAUUUAUAUAAUUAUUUUUCAAAAAUAUUUAAAAUAAUAUUUAAUAAAUUUAUAAUUAAAUCACAACACUUACAAUCUCUUUCUUUAUUAUCGAGCAACAACUUUUUAUUUUUAAAACAGUAUCUAAAUUCCCUUUCCCUAUAAAACCCACAAAUUUCAUUGGCGGAUUAAUAUGGGAUUAUGAGAAUAUGCUAAGUAAUAGUUAUAAUUCGUUAUGGGUCUAUGUCACUUUAUAAAGCCCAUAUUCCAAUUAUUGAUGGUUGAAAGUUAAAAUCCAUAAUUGUGGU
RNAcentral lists this long non-coding RNA (1688 nucleotides) under Durio zibethinus. RNAcentral describes it as "long non-coding RNA (DZIB_LNC001137)". Lineage: Eukaryota; Viridiplantae; Streptophyta; Magnoliopsida; Malvales; Malvaceae. The record is from RNAcentral.